This 1320-nucleotide long non-coding RNA is filed under the name Chrysemys picta bellii (western painted turtle). RNAcentral describes it as "lncRNA (ENSCPBG00000007572.1)". The record is from RNAcentral. Lineage: Eukaryota; Metazoa; Chordata; Testudines; Emydidae.
AGUCUGCCCUUGAAGAAUUCUCAUUAAAUAUAAACUGUGUCCCACCAAGGGCUAUUAUUACAUUGUCAAUAAGACACUCACCUGGGACUAAUAUCGUAUUUUAGUCCUAAAAGACCAUCUAGGCAGUUCAUUACCCUUUAAUUAUUUCACUCGGACAAGUCUAGAUUUUUAUAGUGAUUAUGCAGCGCAGCUCAAACUUCUCUUCCAUUGUAUUUAAAGUCUCUUUUGCAGAGUGUCAUAAGAUUCUGACGCCCAGCAUAUUCUAUGAGAGUUGCAUCGCUGAUUCAUGCCACAUUACCAAUGAAUCUAUACCAUGCUUCAGCUUGGAAACAUAUGCCUCCCUCUGCUCUGCUAAAGGUGUCUGUGCCAACUGGAGAAGCAAGACCCAAGGACAAUGCCGUAAGGAGCAUUAAGAGAUACUUUGCCUUGGAUCUAUGGCGUGCUUAUUACAAACUUAUUCUGGAAAUGUAAACUUCUUCCAUUAUUUUGGGAGGGAGGAAUAGAUACGUAUCUAAACUUUACUUUAAUUUAAUUCCUGUGGAGAUGGGUGAACUAGUUCCGAUAAAAUAUAAACAACCCUGAACCUUUGCUGUUCUCUCAAAUUCAACCAAAGCCACAUCUUUUGUGAGGUUCAAAAUCAUUCAGUAGCUGUUACAAAAUAUUUCUGCUUUUCUAUUUCCUGAUCCAAAGGGUUGAUGAAGUGAGACCACCAGUGGUUGUUACCCCUCCACCUACAUAAAAUUAAAAGCAAUUGGAAAGCAUCAUCUCUGCUUCUUUACCUUCAUACAAUGUUUCAUUUUCAUAUUGAUUUUAUUUUUGCUCCCACACAGCAUACAACUGUCCUAACGGCAAGGUGUAUGAUGCAUGUGGCCCUCUUAAUCCUGUCGCCUGUCAUUCCGGAACUGUUAACCAUACAAGUGAACAUGUUGCUGAAGGAUGCUUCUGCCCCAAGGAUAAGAUUCUCUUCAAUUCAUACACUGACAUCUGUGUGUCAGAAUGCGGUAAGUUUGUGGGGGACAGGAAGGAGGGAAGGAGAAAGGGUUGGAGGAGGAUGUAAAUAAUGUGAAUAUUAGUGUUGAUGAAAAAAAGAGAUGGACAGGACAACCUAGUUCUAGGUAUAGCGUGAAAAAAUGCUAUGGAAGCUUCUAUCACACAGCUCUGCUCAUGGACCUUAAUCUCACUCAGCUUUAGCCAUUCUUGAAUAUCCAAAUUCUGCUAGCUGAACCAGUCUGACAGGUAGUUUUGUAAUUAUGACAAAUUCACACUAGGGACUAAAACUACUGACCGUGUUUCACUUAUAAUAUAUCACAUUUAAAGCCU